This is a non-coding RNA of Podarcis lilfordi (Lilford's wall lizard), 182 nucleotides long. Lineage: Eukaryota; Metazoa; Chordata; Lepidosauria; Squamata; Lacertidae. The record is from the annotation of a GenBank genome assembly.
UUGACAAUACCAGUAGCUGAAAUAUUUCCUAUAUAGAUAGAUCUCACGUAGCAUGGCUAGAAAUAAUGCAAGAUUUCACACAAUGCUUCCUCAGCAUUCCAAAACCUGAUUCUCAACUGAAUAACCUCAGCAGUUCAGAAGGUAUUUUAGCCACCACCGUGAUUAUUCAUUUCUUGGCUUUC